AUUGAACGCUGGCGGCAUGCUUUACACAAUGCAAGUCGAACGGCAGCGCGGGGGCAACCCUGGCGGCGAGUGGCGAACGGGUGAGUAAUAUAUCGGAACGUACCCAGAAAGUUGGGGGGAUAACGUAAGCGAAAGUUACGCUAAUACCGCAUUACGAUCUACGGAUGAAAGUGGGGGACCUUCGGGCCUCAAUGCUUUUGGAGCGGCCGAUAUCUGAUUAGCUAGUUGGUGAGGUAAAGGCUCACCCAAGGACGACGAUCAGUAGCUGGUCUGAGAGGACGACCAGCCACACUGGAACUGAGACACGGUCCAGGCUCCUACGGGAGGCAGCAGUGGGGGAAUUUUGGA
Molecule: ribosomal RNA, 348 nt
Filed under: uncultured bacterium
Lineage: Bacteria
Description: bacterial SSU rRNA
Rfam family: Bacterial small subunit ribosomal RNA
Source: RNAcentral